GAUCGCUGGAAACUAGCUUGCUAGGUGGAAGGAGAGGCGAACGGGUGAGUAAGUACAUAAGCAACCUGCCCACGAAGACUGGGAUAAUCCUUGGAAACGAGGACUAAUACCGGAUAGGUUACGAAUUCGCAUGAAUUUGUAAUUAAAGGUUAGAAACACUGGUGGAUGGGCUUAUGGUGCAUUAGCUAGUUGGUGAGGUAACGGCCCACCAAGGCGAUGAUGCAUAGCCGGGCUGAGAGGCUGAACGGCCACAUUGGGACUGAGACACGGCCCAGACUCCUACGGGAGGCAGCAGUAGGGAAUUUUCGGCAAUGGGGGAAACCCUGACCGAGCAACGCCGCGUGAGUGAUGAAGGUCUUCGGAUUGUAAAGCUCUGUUGUAAGGGAAGAAUGAAUUGGAUAGAAUCCGAUUGUGACGGUACCUUACCAGAAAGCUACGGCUAACUACGUGCCAGCAGCCGCGGUAAUACGUAGGUAGCGAGCGUUAUCCGGAAUUAUUGGGCGUAAAGGGUGCGUAGGCGGCUUGUUAAGUUUAAGGUGAAAGAAUGGGGCUCAACCCCAUAAAGCCUUAGAUACUGGCAAGCUAGAGUACUGGAGAGGGUAGUGGAAUUCCAUGUGUAGCGGGUAAAAAAUGCGUAGAUAUAUGGAGGAACACCGGAGGCGAAGGCGGCUACCUAGACAGAGACUGACGCUGAGGCACGAAAGCGUGGGGAGCAAAUAGGAUUAGAUACCCUAGUAGUCUACGCCGUAAACGAUGAAUGCUUAGAUAUCGGGGCAACUCGGUGUCGAAACUAACGCGAUAAGCAUUCCGCCUGUGGAGUAUGCACGCAAGUGUGAAACAUAAAGGAAUUGACGGGGGCCCGCACAAGCCGGUGGAGUAUGUGGUUUAUGUUCGACGCAACGCGAAGAUCCUAUACCAGGCCCUGACAUCCCGGUCCAAGACUCUAGAGAUAGAGCACGAGGUAUCGAGGACCGCCCAAAAGGGGGCCCCCCUUGAACCAAUUCCCCCCUUUUGGCCCAAAAAAACUUUCCUAAGAGAUAGAGCAAGAGGUAUCGAGGUGACAGUUGGUGCAUGGUUGUCGUCAGCUCGUGUCGUGAGAUGUUGGGUUAAGUCCCGCAACGAGCGCAACCCUUGUCUUCAGUUACCAUCAUUAAGUUGGGGACUCUGGAGAGACUGCCGGUGAUAAACCGGAGGAAGGUGGGGAUGACGUCAAAUCAUCAUGCCCCUUAUGGCCUGGGCUACACACGUACUACAAUGGCUGUUACAACGUGAAGCAACACUGUGAAGUGAAGCGAAUCACUAAAAGGCAGUCUCAGUUCGGAUUGAAGUCUGCAACUCGACUUCAUGAAGUUGGAAUCGCUAAUAAUCGCGGAUCAGCAUGCCGCGGUGAAUACGUUCUCGGGCCUUGUACACACCGCCCGUCAUACCAUGAGAGCUGGCAAUACCCGAAGCCGGUGGCCUAACCGCAAGGAAGGAGCCGUCGAAGUAGGGCUA
This 1494-nucleotide ribosomal RNA is filed under the name uncultured bacterium. Its description in RNAcentral is "bacterial SSU rRNA". It matches the Rfam family "Bacterial small subunit ribosomal RNA". The record is from RNAcentral.